CGAACCCUAAAAAGUCCUAAAAA
This 23-nucleotide transfer RNA is filed under the name Microkayla wettsteini (Wettstein's Andes frog). RNAcentral's name for it is "partial tRNA-Phe". The record is from RNAcentral. Lineage: Eukaryota; Metazoa; Chordata; Amphibia; Anura; Craugastoridae.